GGCGUGCCUAAUACAUGCAAGUCGAACGCUUCUUUUUCCACCGGAGCUUGCUCCACCGGAAAAAGAGGAGUGGCGAACGGGUGAGUAACACGUGGGUAACCUGCCCAUCAGAAGGGGAUAACACUUGGAAACAGGUGCUAAUACCGUAUAACAAUCGAAACCGCAUGGUUUUGAUUUGAAAGGCGCUUUCGGGUGUCGCUGAUGGAUGGACCCGCGGUGCAUUAGCUAGUUGGUGAGGUAACGGCUCACCAAGGCGACGAUGCAUAGCCGACCUGAGAGGGUGAUCGGCCACAUUGGGACUGAGACACGGCCCAAACUCCUACGGGAGGCAGCAGUAGGGAAUCUUCGGCAAUGGACGAAAGUCUGACCGAGCAACGCCGCGUGAGUGAAGAAGGUUUUCGGAUCGUAAAACUCUGUUGUUAGAGAAGAACAAGGAUGAGAGUAACUGUUCAUCCCUUGACGGUAUCUAACCAGAAAGCCACGGCUAACUACGUGCCAGCAGCCGCGGUAAUACGUAGGUGGCAAGCGUUGUCCGGAUUUAUUGGGCGUAAAGCGAGCGCAGGCGGUUUCUUAAGUCUGAUGUGAAAGCCCCCGGCUCAACCGGGGAGGGUCAUUGGAAACUGGGAGACUUGAGUGCAGAAGAGGAGAGUGGAAUUC
This 657-nucleotide ribosomal RNA is filed under the name Enterococcus hirae. RNAcentral's name for it is "bacterial SSU rRNA". It matches the Rfam family "Bacterial small subunit ribosomal RNA", at positions 41 to 669 of the family's 1533-position model. The record is from RNAcentral. Lineage: Bacteria; Bacillati; Bacillota; Bacilli; Lactobacillales; Enterococcaceae.